RNAcentral lists this ribosomal RNA (237 nucleotides) under Salmonella enterica. RNAcentral's name for it is "partial 16S ribosomal RNA". It matches the Rfam family "Bacterial small subunit ribosomal RNA", at positions 1 to 234 of the family's 1533-position model. The record is from RNAcentral. Lineage: Bacteria; Pseudomonadati; Pseudomonadota; Gammaproteobacteria; Enterobacterales; Enterobacteriaceae. RNAcentral also lists the same sequence under 2 other names.
AAAUUGAAGAGUUUGAUCAUGGCUCAGAUUGAACGCUGGCGGCAGGCCUAACACAUGCAAGUCGAACGGUAACAGGAAGCAGCUUGCUGCUUCGCUGACAAGUGGCGGACGGGUGAGUAAUGUCUGGGAAACUGCCUGAUGGAGGGGGAUAACUACUGGAAACGGUGGCUAAUACCGCAUGACGUCGCAAGACCAAAGAGGGGGACCUUCGGGCCUCUUGCCAUCAGAUGUGCCCAG